CCACGUUUGAGAUAUCUUUUUCAGGUAGUUCAGACAGAAACCAUGACAGCUUAUUGUAGAAUACUACCUACACUGGACCACCACGUUUGAACACAAGUUCAAACACAAACCACAUCUACUAUAAAACCACGAGCUUAUUGUAGAAUACUACCCAUCCCACAUUACACGCGGUGCAGAGAAAUUCUGGUACGUAUGAUGACGCAAGUGUUAUCGCCAUAGCAACACAAAUAUUACAAGGUCGGUUUGGUUACUCAGCUUCGG
Molecule: non-coding RNA, 261 nt
Organism: Paramuricea clavata
Lineage: Eukaryota; Metazoa; Cnidaria; Anthozoa; Malacalcyonacea; Plexauridae
Source: the annotation of a GenBank genome assembly